This 465-nucleotide ribosomal RNA is filed under the name uncultured bacterium. RNAcentral describes it as "partial 16S ribosomal RNA". It matches the Rfam family "Bacterial small subunit ribosomal RNA", at positions 28 to 507 of the family's 1533-position model. The record is from RNAcentral.
GACGAACGCUGGCGGCGUGCUUAACACAUGCAAGUCGAACGGAAAGGCCCUGCUUGCAGGGUCCUCGAGUGGCGAACGGGUGAGUAACACGUGGGUGAUCUGCCCUGCACUUCGGGAUAAGCCUGGGAAACUGGGUCUAAUACCGGAUAGGAGCCAUUUUUAGUGUGAUGGUUGGAAAGUUUUUUCGGUGUAGGAUGAGCUCGCGGCCUAUCAGCUUGUUGGUGGGGUAAUGGCCUACCAAGGCGGCGACGGGUAGCCGGCCUGAGAGGGUGGACGGCCACAUUGAGACUGGGAUACGGCCCAGACUCCUACGGGAGGCAGCAGUGGGGAAGAUUGCACAAUGGGCGCAAGCCUGAUGCAGCGACGCCGCGUGGGGGAUGACGGCCUUCGGGUUGGAAACUCCUUUCGCUAGGGACGAAGCUUUUUGUGACGGUACCUAGAGAAGAAGCACCGGCUAACUACGUG